This 497-nucleotide ribosomal RNA is filed under the name uncultured bacterium. RNAcentral's name for it is "partial 16S ribosomal RNA". It matches the Rfam family "Bacterial small subunit ribosomal RNA", at positions 28 to 507 of the family's 1533-position model. The record is from RNAcentral.
GAUGAACGCUGGCGGCGUGCCUAAUACAUGCAAGUCGAGCGAACGGACGAGAAGCUUGCUUCUCUGAUGUUAGCGGCGGACGGGUGAGUAACACGUGGAUAACCUACCUAUAAGACUGGGAUAACUUCGGGAAACCGGAGCUAAUACCGGAUAAUAUUUUGAACCGCAUGGCUCAAAAGUGAAAGACGGUCUUGCUGUCACUUAUAGAUGGAUCCGCGCUGCAUUAGCUAGUUGGUAAGGUAACGGCUUACCAAGGCAACGAUGCAUAGCCGACCUGAGAGGGUGGUCGGCCACACUGGAACUGAGACACGGUCCAGACUCCUACGGGAGGCAGCAGUAGGGAAUCUUCCGCAAUGGGCGAAAGCCUGACGGAGCAACGCCGCGUGAGUGAUGAAGGUCUUCGGAUCGUAAAACUCUGUUAUUAGGGAAGAACAUAUGUGUAAGUAACUGUGCACAUCUUGACGGUACCUAAUCAGAAAGCCACGGCUAACUACGUG